GAGGGUGUAGCUCAGUGGUAGAGUGCAUGCUUAGCAUGCACAAGGUCAUGGGUUCAAGCCCUGGUACCUCCA
This 72-nucleotide transfer RNA is filed under the name Camelus bactrianus (Bactrian camel). It matches the Rfam family "tRNA". Rfam says of the family: Transfer RNA (tRNA) molecules are approximately 80 nucleotides in length. Their secondary structure includes four short double-helical elements and three loops (D, anti-codon, and T loops). RNAcentral also lists the same sequence under 3 other names. Lineage: Eukaryota; Metazoa; Chordata; Mammalia; Artiodactyla; Camelidae. The record is from Rfam by way of RNAcentral.